UGCGUAGGCGGAUCAAUAAGUCAGUGGUGAAAUCUCUCGGCUCAACCGGGAAACUGCCAUUGAUACUGUUGAUCUUGAGUUCGGUUGAGGUAGGCGGAAUGUGUAAUGUAGCGGUGAAAUGCUUAGAUAUUACACAGGACACCAAUUGCGUAGGCAGCUUACUAGACCGACACUGACGCUGAGGCACGAAAGCGUGGGGAGCGAACAGGAUUAGAUACCCUGGUAGUCC
RNAcentral lists this ribosomal RNA (229 nucleotides) under uncultured bacterium. Its description in RNAcentral is "partial 16S ribosomal RNA". It matches the Rfam family "Bacterial small subunit ribosomal RNA", at positions 568 to 796 of the family's 1533-position model. The record is from RNAcentral.